AUAAGAGAGCACCUUACAGAACCAUACAUCCUAUCAUAAACCUGAAGGAGCCACACAGCAGCAGCAGCUGUUCAACUAACACACCCACCUCAACAAUCUGGGGCUGAAAAAUAAAAUCCAAAUCACAAAUAUAGAUUUGAGGGGAAAUGACAAUGCACACAGUGGCUUUCCCUCCUUUCUCUGCUUGCUGUUUUCAUUCCUGCCACCCCUCCCUCUCCCACUGCUCCCAGAUGACCUCUGCCCUAGUGGGAUUCAUCACGAGUGCCAAAGAGGAAGCCCAAAUCGCAGCUUCAAAUGAAUCUAUCUGUGUUUGCAAACACUGAAGAUCUCCCUCCCCACAACAAACAGAUAGAAGUCGAUUUCUGAAAACGCGGCUGAAAUUCCAGUCCCGUAUUGUUACGCUCCUCUGCUCUCAAGACUAACUGCUCUCAGUUUCCCCCUCUUUUAUUUACCACGUCAUCCUCUGAAAACAUCCCUCAUCACUGGGUUGAUUCCAUGUUUCAUACAACAGUGUAAUGUAAUGCUCCUCCAGGAUUGCGUCAGAACCCAAAAUGGAUCCUCACAUGAUCGGGGUGCCAGUGCCCAGGUCCGCCAAAGACACUUUCUCAUGAGGAUCCCCAGCCAGAACAAGCUCGACAACUGCUGCUAUGGUAUAAACUCCAUGUAUAAAAGAUGAGGAUUGCCUUUUUAUAACACAGAGCAAGCAGAGCUGCCUAGCAGGAAGUACACCACACAUCCCACACUUGUUCCCUACGGCUGGAAACUGGCAGCAGGCUUGAAAGAAGAGGACGCUGGUGCCAUUCUCCCUCCAGCUAGUCCAUCUUCAACCUACCAUUGUUGGUUAUUUUAUUUUUUGUGAACAUAGUGGCUUAGGUUGGUCGGUAUUUCCUUCCACUGCAUGCUGUGUGGUGUCAUUUUCUCUGUAUUUAUUCUGUGUACUUAUUUUCUCGUCUAGUUUCUUGCCUGAAAUGCACUUAAAGUAUCACCUGUCAGGUUCACGUAUCUCUCACUCAUUUUCUCUUCCACAUUUUUGUUUUGUUUUGUUUGUCAGGGCACCCCACAGCUCCCUAUUUGCUAACAUAUAGUCCCACAUGCCCAUAUGCAAAGCAAGGCCUUGAUAGCUUUGAUGAUUUCUGCAGGAUUGUAAAAUUGUUCACCAUUUUACUGUGAUUCCAGAUGAGUGCACAAACAAGUUCUUCUAGCUGUCAUAAAGAGGCCGUUUCAGUGCAGCCAUGUGGAUGUCUCAGUGCACACAUUCCCACUGUUUGUCAUGUGUAACUCUGUUUUCUAGCAUGAACAUUAGUCCCUUCAUGAGCAUGUGACACAGAUCACAACAUCCAGAAGCGCAUGCUAAGCUCUAGGGGUUAAAGAGAGCACAUAGCAUGUGACUGCUGGAUCAUACGUGACGAUAAGCAAGCAAUGGAGAUGAGAUAUAUUGUUAUUGAAUGUGUAUUUGUGACACACUGCUAACUAUGUAUUGUAUAGCAUCUGUCAAUAUUAAGAAUAUUGAUGUGGCUGUAUUGUGUAGUAGCUUUUGACCAGAGCUGAGAUUUCACUCUCAUGAUAACAAAUAAACCAUAUCGGUCACAUUGUGCAAACAUGUGACUUAACAUGUUA
Molecule: long non-coding RNA, 1617 nt
Organism: Dicentrarchus labrax (European seabass)
Lineage: Eukaryota; Metazoa; Chordata; Actinopteri; Moronidae
Exons: 3
Source: RefSeq, a predicted model, not a curated record